Molecule: unclassified non-coding RNA, 200 nt
Filed under: Chalara sp.
Lineage: Eukaryota; Fungi; Ascomycota; Leotiomycetes; Helotiales
Description: partial internal transcribed spacer 2
Source: RNAcentral
UUAAGUUCAGCGGGUAUCCCUACCUGAUCCGAGGUCAACCAUAAGAAAAUUUGGGGUUGCUGGCCAGCGGCCGCCCGGGUCCAACAGCGAGAAGAAUUACUACGCUGAGGACGCGGACGCGCCGCCACUAAUUUUGAGGCCCGCCGUUGCCGGCGCGGCCCAAGACAAGCAGAGCUUGAGGGUUGAAAUGACGCUCGAAC